This 633-nucleotide ribosomal RNA is filed under the name Pediococcus pentosaceus. RNAcentral's name for it is "bacterial SSU rRNA". It matches the Rfam family "Bacterial small subunit ribosomal RNA", at positions 73 to 694 of the family's 1533-position model. Lineage: Bacteria; Bacillati; Bacillota; Bacilli; Lactobacillales; Lactobacillaceae. The record is from RNAcentral.
UGAGAUUUUAACACGAAGUGAGUGGCGAACGGGUGAGUAACACGUGGGUAACCUGCCCAGAAGUAGGGGAUAACACCUGGAAACAGAUGCUAAUACCGUAUAACAGAGAAAACCGCAUGGUUUUCUUUUAAAAGAUGGCUCUGCUAUCACUUCUGGAUGGACCCGCGGCGUAUUAGCUAGUUGGUGAGGUAAAGGCUCACCAAGGCAGUGAUACGUAGCCGACCUGAGAGGGUAAUCGGCCACAUUGGGACUGAGACACGGCCCAGACUCCUACGGGAGGCAGCAGUAGGGAAUCUUCCACAAUGGACGCAAGUCUGAUGGAGCAACGCCGCGUGAGUGAAGAAGGGUUUCGGCUCGUAAAGCUCUGUUGUUAAAGAAGAACGUGGGUAAGAGUAACUGUUUACCCAGUGACGGUAUUUAACCAGAAAGCCACGGCUAACUACGUGCCAGCAGCCGCGGUAAUACGUAGGUGGCAAGCGUUAUCCGGAUUUAUUGGGCGUAAAGCGAGCGCAGGCGGUCUUUUAAGUCUAAUGUGAAAGCCUUCGGCUCAACCGAAGAAGUGCAUUGGAAACUGGGAGACUUGAGUGCAGAAGAGGACAGUGGAACUCCAUGUGUAGCGGUGAAAUGCGUAGA